RNA transcript from Grus americana (Whooping crane), 4324 nucleotides. It is a transcript of the gene named interferon alpha-inducible protein 27-like protein 2A, with no coding region annotated. The record is from RefSeq and is a predicted model, not a curated record. NCBI's taxonomy places the organism in Eukaryota, Metazoa, Chordata, Aves, Gruiformes, Gruidae. The transcript has 2 exons.
GCCGUGCGGGGCGGGAGGUGCGGGGUCUGCGGGAGGCAGCGGGGCUUUCCCCGCCGCCGGCGUUUAACCUUCAGCGAGCCCGGCGGGUGCCGACCCCCCUCGGGCUGGGGAUGCUGCUGCCGCUCGCAGCCCCGCACUCGGCUCCUGGCAGCGGCUCGGCGUGGGCAGGGAGGGGGCGGCCCCGGGGCUGCGGGUCUGGGGGUCACGGUGGCCCCCACACCCCUCGGGCUAGCCCGGGCGGAGGAGCGGGGGCAGCAGCAAACUCUCCAUGGGGUUGAGGGGGGCAACGGGGCACCCCCGGCAGGUGCUGGCUGCAAAGGGGGGUGUCCGGUGGUGGGUCCGCGGGCAGCGCAGCGGGGCAGAGCCCAGCCCACCUGCCUGCAGGUUCCCCCCCCCCGCAGCGGGGCCGGCUGCCCCCUCCCCUGGGAGCCGGGGUGCCCUCGGUCACGCAAAGUGGGGACGCCCCACGCCGGUGGGAUGGGGCAGGAAGGGAACCCCAACUCCUGAGCGCCUUGGCGUCGUAUUUUGGACAUGCACGGGGGGAAACGCUGACCACCGCGGCCGGGUGCACCAGGGCUCCACGUGCUCGCAGCCCCGAAACGGGCAAUGCCCACAGGUUAAGGGGUGGCAGGACAGGGGCUGGGGUGCUCCCCCAGGCACCCUCUGCCAGCGGUCCCCUUGCACCCACCUCCCUCCUCCUCGCUGGGCCUCUUGGUAUUUUUUUAAGCCGCUCAGCGGCUGAAGUGGCUGCUGCAGUGGGUUUGUCGGGGAUGGAUGAGCUGGGGGGAGCCGGUUGGGGGGGGGCAGCGCUGAAUAGUAAAACUUGGAAAGGCCCCUGCAAGGCAGCGACUGCAGAGCAUGGCCGGGCACGCAGCGCUGGGGGGAGCGGGGAAAAAAGAUGCUUCCUUUUAUAGACAGACUGGGGCUGUUGGGUGCCGUGCAAGUGCAUGGGUGCUACCACGGCCGGCCCUGGCAGCCCCCCCGGCUCCUCCGUCUCCCCCUUGCAAGGCCAUUUGCCCCCGGUGACCACAAGCCACCCUGCCCAGGGCAGGGAGCUGCUCUCAGGGCAGGCGGGGGACCCAGAGGCUGCCCAGGUCAGGGGGUCCCAGCCAGUGUGGGGGCAUGGAGGAGCUGUGGGAGAGGGGCUGCCCCAGGGCAGAGCUCCCUGCACUGCAGGCAGGGAGAAGCUUCAGCUCGGGGACGCGUCUGCAGCCGUCAAGGGCAGCGCCAAGGCUGGGGAGGGUGGGGGCUGCCAGCGGUGGAGCACCCCCAGGUCUGCAGAGGGGCUUGCACUGAUGACCCGGAAUGUCCGGGCACAGAGAGGGCAGUGGAACAGGCAUGGGCCGUGGGGCAGGGCUGGGACAAGGAAGGGUGUUGGGAAUGAGCAGGGGUGGCCCAGGAUGGGAUCAGGUGAGACUGGGCACCCCGGAUGCAGUGACCAUCCCACGGUGCUGCGUGCGGCCCUCCAAGGUCACUGGGAGAGCCCGGCUAGGGCUGCGGGGACCGUGCCAUGGGAUGGGGCUGUGUGGGACCCCCAGACUGGGGUACCUCUAGCACCGCAGCCCUGGGAGGCUGCCCAAGGUCAGCUGAGGUGGCUGGAGCUGAACCUGACCCUGCUCCCUGGCUCCAGGGGGUUGGGGUGGGCACAGCCACCAGCUUUCGGCUCCCGGUGCACCCCAACAGCUUCACCGACCCCUGGGAUCCCCUGCACCCCUACGGCAAAACUGUGCAGCAGCAUCCUCCUGUGCUGCGGGGCCAGCAGAGCCCGAAGGGUUAAGUGGGUGCAUCUCUGCAGCCUCUGGCCUCUGGCCACCCACUCCAUCUGCUUUUGGGGGGGCACAGGGAUGCUGGUCUAGCCAAACAUGCUCUGCCCCACCGCUGCUGCCAGGCUGGGUACUUGGGUCCUGGGAGCUGUGUCUCUGGGGUCCCCAGCGCCAUGUCCCUGAGCACUGGUCGUGUGGGAGGUCCCGGGGUGCUGGUGGAGCAUCCUGGGGGGACCGUGGCCAUGCUGGCAGCAACCCUGCGCCCCGAGGCGAUGGUUGGCGGCUCCGGGGGUCACCGAGCAGGGUCUCUGCUGCCUGUGGGUGCCACAAGCAGGGCCGGCGCGGUGAGCGUGUACUUGGCACCCACCGGUUCCUUGCAGAGAGCUGCAGCGUGUGUGGCCACAGCUCCCGGCGCUGAGUCACGUCCACGCCUGGCCUGGCCAGCCCCGCGUCCCUCCUGCCUGCAGCCUGGCCCCCCGCGCAUCCCUCACUCCCCCAAGGAGGGGGCAGUGCUGGGAACGGCUCCCUGCACCCACCGCUGCUCUGCUCCACGUCUGAGUUUAGGGGUAGGAAGGUCACUGGGGUCGAGGCACAGAUGGGCUGUGGCGACGCUCGCCCCCUCCAUCGUCCUGCGCUGGCCGUGCCGUGCCGGGGCCGGGGAGUCCCCCCACACCCCCCUUACGGUCUCCACCCCCUGAGAUCUCAGCUGAACCCCCUCCCGUGGGCAAAGGCGCCUCUGGCCUCCCCUGCCCAGAGCUGCGGGGUGGGGAGGGCCUGGACCCCAGGUCCUUCUCCCAGCCUUCCAAACGAGCCAGGCGGGGAGGGUGGGGGUGCAGGAGGUGGGUGCCCCCAGUGCCGGCCCCAGCUGCACCGAGCUGCAACCCCUGCUUUGGCACACGGGCUGCAGCAGAGAGGGGGAUGGGUGCUGCAGGGUGGUGCUGGGGUGCUCCAGGGUGCUGGGGCAAUGCAGGGUGCCGGCGGGGUGCAGCUGGUGCAUCCUGGGUCGAUGGGGGACCCCCUCGUGCAGAAAUGGCUCCUAGCGCAGGCACCCACCUCCGCCGUCCGUGUGGGCUCACGGGACACGGCACUUGGCCAUGUCCUCAGAGGUGCAGUCCCCCACGGUGCCCCACGGCCCAAACUGCUGAGCCUCGGCUGCGUCCCGGGGCGUCCCACCGCCCACGAAGGGCAGCCACCGGCCAAACUGCCAAGCGGUGGGUGCGUUGCCAGCCUGAGCACCCUGCGGUGGGUGCAGAGGCUCUGCAUCCCAGACACACACGUUGGCCACGGCACCGUCUCGCUCUCCAGCCCCUUGCUCCGGGGUGGCUGCGGGCACUACGGGGCUGUACGGGCAGUGCCACAGCCAGGGAUACACCUGGGGCUGGGCGCAAGCAGGGGCUGGAUCCAGGGGUGGGCAGGAUGUGCUCCGCACAGCCCCUGCCCAGCCUCAGGCUUCACCGCGGCCGCCGGCUCCUUCCAGGGUCCCACCACCCAGAGCUGGUGGGUGCUGCCAGGAGCGGCUGGUGUCCCCGUGCCCCAUGUGCCCAGCGCCACGCUGCCUGCCUCUCCCUCCCAACCCUACAUACUUCUUCAUAUGCCCAUAUGGAGUCGGCUGGCGUUAUGGAAUGUUAAGAAGUAUGUAUUUUUGGGCUGGGACCCCCACGCCGGGAACCCCCCUCCACACCAGCACUGGCCCAGGCGGCGCAUCCGGAGAGACGGUGCGUCCCUGGGGCUGGUAAAAAGGAACCAGAUCAACUUGCAACUGGAUUUGGUCCCCUUCAACCAGCUGCAGCGGCGCAUACACGGCGGCACCCACUGCGCCCUGGCCCCGAGGGGCUGCGCCGGGUGGGCUGGCUGCGUCCUGCCCCGAGGGGGCUCGGGGUGAGAAGCUGGCGCAAGGAGCGGGGGAAAGGGGGGUUUGCAAAGUGGGGCUUUGGCCGGUUUUUGAGGCUGCCCGGUGGAGGGGAGGCAGCCAGAGGGGCUGCACCUCCACUGCCAGCCCGCGGAAAUCUCUGCGCUGCCCAGACCGCCCGCGCUGCCCGUAGUCCUUGUCAAAAACGGUGGAGCUUCACCAGCCCUGAACUGUCGGGAAAUGCCCCGUAAAGCCCCAGCUGCUGCAGCAACACCCCACACACCCCCCCCACCCCCCCCCCCCCCGCCCGGCGCAUCCUCCCCGCCGCAGCCCUGGCACCUCCUGUCCCCGCAUCCCCAUGGGAGGGUUGGGGGGGGGGACAGGGGUCCCCGUGGGGAGCAGCCCUGAGGUCCAACCCCCCGGGACGGGCGACCCCACGCCCCGCUGCCCGGCUGCCUCCUGUGCCGGCAGAGCCAGGCGCACCAAGGGUAAACACCGACAUGGACCAAGAAUUUGGGGAAAACGAAACUCAGCGGAGCAGUUUCUUGGAAAUCUGCUGUGCUGACAUCACCUGAGGCCCCGGCUACCAGCGGCAAGCGUGCUCCAGCAGCACUGAGCUCUUGGUGGGCAACAGACAGGACCAGGCUCAGACCGGACCCGUCACACAUCUCACUCCAGCGGCUGCCCCCCCUGCCAGGCCAGGCCACCAUGC